This 423-nucleotide ribosomal RNA is filed under the name uncultured bacterium. RNAcentral describes it as "partial 16S ribosomal RNA". It matches the Rfam family "Bacterial small subunit ribosomal RNA", at positions 359 to 774 of the family's 1533-position model. The record is from RNAcentral.
GAAUCUUCCACAAUGGACGAAAGUCUGAUGGAGCAAUGCCGCGUGAGUGAAGAAGGUUUUCGGAUCGUAAAACUCUGUUGUGAGGGAAGAACAAGUACGAGAGUAACCGCUCGUACCUGGACGGUACCGCAUUAGAAAGCAACGGCUAAAUACGGGCCAGCCGCCGCGGUAAUACGUGGGUGGCAAGCGUUGUCCGGAAUUUUUGGGCGUAAAGCGCGCGCAGGCGGUCCUUUAAGUCUGAUGUGAAAUCCCACGGCUCAACCGUGGAAGGUCAUUGGAAACUGGGGGACUUGAGUACAGAAGAGGAAAGUGGAAUUCCAAGUGUAGCGGUGAAAUGCGUAGAGAUUUGGAGGAACACCAGUGGCGAAGGCGACUUUCUGGUCUGUAACUGACGCUGAGGCGCGAAAGCGUGGGGAGCAAACA